AGAUGUGAGGGCCAUCUGGCUGUGACAUCUGUCACCCCACUGAUCGCCAGGGUUGAUUCGACUGAUCUGGCUGGCUAGGCGGGUGUCCCCUUCCUCCCUCACCGCUCCAUGCGCGUCCCUCCUGAAGCUGAUGCUCCGUGGAAGAGGACGGCCUUCCCCUAAUAGAGAUAGACCCGGUCUUUGGUCAAGGGUAUAUGAGUAGCUGCGCUCCCCUGCUAGAACCUCCAAACAAGCUCUCAAGAGUAGGGCUUUUCAUAAUCUUCAGUUUGCUAUCUACAUGUUGUUCACUUUUCCUUCUCAAGUACUUACUUCAUGUUAUA
Erinaceus europaeus (western European hedgehog) is the source of this 320-nucleotide non-coding RNA. Lineage: Eukaryota; Metazoa; Chordata; Mammalia; Eulipotyphla; Erinaceidae. The record is from Rfam.